CGAGGUAUGCUGCCACCACAUACUCUUUCCUGUGAAAGCCGUCCAAAAUAUAAUUUGUGACCCGAUGUAGUUGCUCAGGGAAUUACAGAAGCUCUGCUGGAUUGUGUACGACAGCCACGCAAAGUGCAACAGCGACCUAAGGUGACGACGAACAUAAUAAAUGUUUAAGUUAUUUGUGGUAUCAUUUAAUGGAUGCGUCUGGGCGUCCAGCAAAAUAAAUUUCACAUUGGCGUCCAGACGAAUUAAUGCGAAAAUUGUGGCCAUGGUUCUGUUUAAAUGCGGCAAAUGAAUAAACAGAUCGCUUUCCUACUAGCAAGCAUCAUUGCAGAGAUAACAAGUAGCGUACUUACGAAAGGGAUAUGCGCCUUAAAACGUUAACCUAUUCGGACAAUUCUAAAUUCUUCAAUAGGAUACAAAAGGGGAAAACCGCACUUUUGUGUUGUUAACACCCAUAAAAUACGAUUGCAUCGUGUGUCGCAUAGGAAACGUGAAAACUUGUAGACUUGGACAUGCAAACGCAAAAGCCUAUUAAAAAUGAUAUGGUUACCUGUUGAAUAAGAGAAAAUUGAUUAUGUAAGAUUUAAGAAGUUAUAUUUGACCUUGUUAAAACCGAUCUAUAAACGGUGGUCAAUUCAUACAUUUUUUAAAUUAGAC
This is a long non-coding RNA of Drosophila novamexicana, 654 nucleotides long. RefSeq lists it as uncharacterized. The transcript has 5 exons. NCBI's taxonomy places the organism in Eukaryota, Metazoa, Arthropoda, Insecta, Diptera, Drosophilidae. The record is from RefSeq and is a predicted model, not a curated record.